CCUACGGGUGGCAGCAGUGAGGAAUAUUGGUCAAUGGACGAGAGUCUGAACCAGCCAAGUAGCGUGAAGGAUGACUGCCCUAUGGGUUGUAAAUUUCUUUUAUAUGGGAAUAAAAUGUUCCAUGUGUGGGAUUUUGUAUGUACCAUAUGAAUAAGGAUCGGCAAACUCCGUGCCAGCAGCGGCGGUAAUACGGAGGAUCCGAGCGUUACCUGGAUUUAUUGGGUUAAACGGGAGCGUAGGUGGAUUGUUAAGUCAGUUGUGAAAGUUUGUGGCUAAACCGGAAAAUUGAGUUGAAACUGGCAGUCUUGAGUACAGUAGAGGUGGGCGGAAUUCGUGGUGUAGCGGUGAAAUGCUUAGAUAUCACGAAGAACUCCGAUUGCGAAGGCAGCUCACUGGACUGCAACCGACGCUGAGGCUCGAAAGUGUGGGUAUCAAACAGGAUUAGAUACCCUUGUAGUC
Molecule: ribosomal RNA, 459 nt
Filed under: uncultured bacterium
Lineage: Bacteria
Description: partial 16S ribosomal RNA
Rfam family: Bacterial small subunit ribosomal RNA
Source: RNAcentral